This 407-nucleotide ribosomal RNA is filed under the name uncultured bacterium. RNAcentral's name for it is "partial 16S ribosomal RNA". It matches the Rfam family "Bacterial small subunit ribosomal RNA", at positions 30 to 526 of the family's 1533-position model. The record is from RNAcentral.
AUUGAACGCUGGCGGCAGGCCUAACACAUGCAAUUCGAGCGGACCGCCGGCCGGGGGAGAAAUCCCAAGGAAGUUGCCUGGAGGUGGGGGAAACCGUCCGGAAACGGGCGCUAAUACCGCAUACAAUCAGAGGAGCUUAGGUCGGAUUAGCGAGUUGGUGGGGUAAAGGCCUACCAAGGCGACGAUCCGUAACUGGUCUGAGAGGAUGAUCAGUCACACUGGAACUGAGACACGGUCCAGACUCCUACGGGAGGCAGCAGUGGGGAAUAUUGGACAAUGGGCGAAAGCCUGAUCCAGCCAUGCCGCGUGUGUGAAGAAGGUCUUCGGAUUGUAAAGCACUUUAAGUUGGGAGGCGUUACCAACAGAAUAAGCACCGGCUCACUUCGGGCCAGCAGCCGCGGUAAUAC